UACGGGGGGGGCAAGCGUUGUUCGGAAUUACUGGGCGUAAAGGGCUCGUAGGCGGCCAACUAAGUCAGACGUGAAAUCCCCAGGCUUAACCUGGGAACUGCGUCUGAUACUGGAUGGCUUGAAUUCGGGAGAGGGAUGCAGAAUUCCAGGUGUAGCGGUGAAAUGCGUAGAUAUCUGGAGGAAUACCGGUGGCGAAGGCGGCAUCCUGGACCGGUAUUGACGCUGAGGCGCGAAAGCCAGGGGAGCAAACGGG
This 253-nucleotide ribosomal RNA is filed under the name uncultured bacterium. RNAcentral describes it as "partial 16S ribosomal RNA". It matches the Rfam family "Bacterial small subunit ribosomal RNA", at positions 524 to 776 of the family's 1533-position model. The record is from RNAcentral.